AAAGGAAUAGACGGGGACCUGCACAAGCGGUGGAACAUGUGGUUUAAUUCGACGAUAAACGAGGAACCUUACCCAGGCUAGAAGCCACUGGAACCCUGAUGAAAGUUAGGGGUGCCGCAAGGAGCCAGUGGACAGGUGCUGCAUGGUUGCCGUCAGCUCGUGCCGUGAGGUGUUCGGUUAAGUCCAGCAACGAGCGCAACCCUUGUCGAAUGUUGUAUUUCUCAUUCGAUACUGCCCGAGUUAAUUGGGAGGAAGGUGGGGACGACGUCAAAUCAGCAUGGCCCUAGACGCCUGGGGCUACACACAUGUUACAAUGGCAGUUACAAUGGGCCGCCAAGUCGAAAGACGGAGCUAAUCCCAUCAAAGGCUGUCUCAGUUCGGAUUGAGGGCUGCAACUCGCCCUCAUGAAGCCGGAAUCGCUAGUAAUCGUGAAUCAGCUAUGUCACGGUGAAUACGUUCUCAGGUCUUGUACACACCGCCCGU
Molecule: ribosomal RNA, 483 nt
Filed under: uncultured bacterium
Lineage: Bacteria
Description: bacterial SSU rRNA
Rfam family: Bacterial small subunit ribosomal RNA
Source: RNAcentral